GGGUAGUUGUGACUUAUCACUCAUGGCAUCUUCCGAUGCCAGCAAGAGCAACAAGAGCCAUAUAGCAUCAGACAUCAUUGUUGCUCAGCAAACAAUAAAGAAAAAGUUGAAUUUCUGAUCCAAACUAUCUCAUAAUUGCACGACUCUAUGGCAUGAUAUGAAGGUUGUGCACAACUAACUAAUGAUUGGACACCACCUCUGUAAUGCGUGGAUUUAUGGAGGUACAUCAUACAUCGAUUGAUUUUAAAAAAAAGUUCAGAUUUCAUUUCUGUAUCCAUUUAAUCCUAUGAUCUCUUACUUACCUAGUCUUGAUUUAGUAAUACAGUAUCCGUCCCAAUAAUGAUAACCCCUUUCUUAAACGACAACACAAGAUUUUAUGCAGUGGUGCUAUUUUGUGUUGAGUGGAGAGAAUAUAGUAGGGAUAAUAAGUGUUUUUGUUUUCAGAAAUGAA
Long non-coding RNA from Salvia splendens (bonfire salvia), 451 nucleotides. RefSeq lists it as uncharacterized. The transcript is spliced from 2 exons. NCBI's taxonomy places the organism in Eukaryota, Viridiplantae, Streptophyta, Magnoliopsida, Lamiales, Lamiaceae. The record is from RefSeq and is a predicted model, not a curated record.